RNAcentral lists this ribosomal RNA (253 nucleotides) under uncultured bacterium. RNAcentral describes it as "partial 16S ribosomal RNA". It matches the Rfam family "Bacterial small subunit ribosomal RNA", at positions 524 to 776 of the family's 1533-position model. The record is from RNAcentral.
UACGUAGGGGGCAAGCGUUAUCCGGAUUUACUGGGUGUAAAGGGAGCGUAGGUGGCAUAGCAAGUCAGAUGUGAAAGCCCGGGGCUUAACCCCGGGACUGCAUUUGAAACUGCUAAGCUAGAGUACAGGAGAGGCAAGUGGAAUUCCUAGUGUAGCGGUGAAAUGCGUAGAUAUUAGGAGGAACACCAGUGGCGAAGGCGGCUUGCUGGACUGUUACUGACACUGAGGCUCGAAAGCGUGGGGAGCAAACAGG